AAUAAUCCAGGAGACGGAGCGGCAGCGGAGGUGAGUUGAUGAGAGUGAAUAGGCAGAUCCAAUGAAGUCACUGAAACCACCGACGGCCAGGCAAGGCAAGGGAGUUGGAUGUUCCGGGAGGAUGACUGUAGACAGAGUAAACGGGGUGCAUGCAUUCAACACGCUUUGGACAAAGGACUUCCACAGGGCCGGCAUCUCCAAAGUUCACUCAAAAAGGCAAUAGUUCUGAACUGGGAUUGAUGAUGUUUUUCUUGUUUUAAUUAUUUAACUGUUUUUCAUUCUCUUUUAAACUUCUAUUAGUUGAAUGCUUGUUGCUUAGUUAUCACAUGGCUCAAGUAAAUUCGGCAGUUGCCUCAUUAAACAUAGUAAGGUUAACAUCCCUAUAGUGUUCACAUUUCUCGCAUGUAAAUGUUGU
This 415-nucleotide long non-coding RNA is filed under the name Salmo salar (Atlantic salmon). RNAcentral describes it as "lncRNA (ENSSSAG00000117635.1, ENSSSAG00000121198.1)". The record is from RNAcentral. Lineage: Eukaryota; Metazoa; Chordata; Actinopteri; Salmoniformes; Salmonidae.